UACGUAGGGGCAAGCGUUGUCCGGAUUUAUUGGGCGUAAAGAGCGUGUAGGCGGCCAGACAGGUCUGCUGUGAAAACUCGAGGCUCAACCUCGAGACGCCGGUGGAAACCGUUUGGCUAGAGUCCGGAAGAGGAGAGUGGAAUUCCUGGUGUAGCGGUGAAUGCGCAGAUAUCAGGAAGAACACCCGUGGCUAAAGGCGGCUCUCUAGUACGGUACUGACGCUGAGACGCGAAAGCGUGGGAGCGAACAGG
Molecule: ribosomal RNA, 251 nt
Filed under: uncultured bacterium
Lineage: Bacteria
Description: partial 16S ribosomal RNA
Rfam family: Bacterial small subunit ribosomal RNA
Source: RNAcentral